UUGGACAAUGGGGGCAACCCUGAUCCAGCCAUCCCGCGUGUGCGAUGAAGGCCUUNGGNNUGUAANGNACUUUUGGCAGGGAANNNNNGGCUCUGGCUACUACCUGGAGCUGCUGACGGUACCUGCAGAAUAAGCACCGGCUAACUACGUGCCAGCAGCCGCGGUAAUACGUAGGGUGCAAGCGUUAAUCGGAAUUACUGGGCGUAAAGCGUGCGCAGGCGGUUCGGCAAGAAGGAUGUGAAAUCCCAGGGCUUAACCUUGGAACUGCAUUCUUAACUGCCGGGCUAGAGUAUGUCAGAGGGGGGUAGAAUUCCGCGUGUAGCAGUGAAAUGCGUAGAGAUGCGGAGGAAUACCGAUGGCGAAGGCAGCCCCCUGGGAUAAUACUGACGCUCAUGCACGAAAGCGUGGGGAGCAAAC
This 417-nucleotide ribosomal RNA is filed under the name uncultured bacterium. Its description in RNAcentral is "partial 16S ribosomal RNA". It matches the Rfam family "Bacterial small subunit ribosomal RNA", at positions 364 to 773 of the family's 1533-position model. The record is from RNAcentral.